Molecule: ribosomal RNA, 253 nt
Filed under: uncultured bacterium
Lineage: Bacteria
Description: partial 16S ribosomal RNA
Rfam family: Bacterial small subunit ribosomal RNA
Source: RNAcentral
CACGUAGGGGACGAGCGUUGUCCGGAUUCAUUGGGCGUAAAGCGCGCGUAGGCGGCCCGGCAAGUCGGAUGUGAAAAUCUGGGGCUCAACCCCAGGCGUGCACCCGAUACUCCCGGGCUGGAGGCAGGUAGGGGAGAUCGGAAUUCCUGGUGUAGCGGUGAAAUGCGCAGAUAUCAGGAGGAACACCGGUGGCGAAGGCGGAUCUCUGGGCCUUGCCUGACGCUGAGGCGCGAAAGCUAGGGGAGCGAACAGG